CGGAGAAGGGGCCUGAGAAAUGGCCACUACGUCUAAGGAUGGCAGCAGGCGCGCAAAUUACCCACUCUCGGCUCGAGGAGGUAGUGACGAGAAAUAACGAGACUGUUCUCUUUGAGGCCGGUCAUCGGAAUGGGUACAAUUUAAACCCUUUAACGAGUAUCAAGCAGAGGGCAAGUCUGGUGCCAGCAGCCGCGGUAAUUCCAGCUCUGCAAAUACAUAGAAUUAUUGCUGCGGUUAGAAAGCUCAUAGUUGGAUUCGUAUCGAUACCUUGGAACCCUUCGGGUGUCUCUAGGUGUUAUCGAUUUAUCGUAAUGUUCGGUUUUGAGUCCUUAACAGGAUUCUUAACAGGCAUUGCAAGUUUACUUUGAACAAAUCAGAGUGCUUCAAACAGGCGUUUUCGCUUGAAUGAUCGUGCAUGGAAUAAUAGAAAAUGAUUUCGGUUCAGUUUUAUUGGUUUUACGGACUGAGAUAAUGGUUAACAGAGACAAACGGGGGCAUUUGUAUGGUCCCGUGAGAGGUGAAAUUCUUGGACCGUGGCCAGACAAACUACAGCGAAAGCAUUUGCCAAGAAUGUUUUUAUUAAUCAAGAACGAAAGUCAGAGGUUCGAAGGCGAUCAGAUACCGCCCUAGU
This 631-nucleotide ribosomal RNA is filed under the name Meloidogyne incognita (southern root-knot nematode). Its description in RNAcentral is "SSU rRNA". It matches the Rfam family "Eukaryotic small subunit ribosomal RNA", at positions 384 to 1024 of the family's 1831-position model. The record is from RNAcentral. Lineage: Eukaryota; Metazoa; Nematoda; Chromadorea; Rhabditida; Meloidogynidae.